GAUCAUGGCUCAGGAUGAACGCUGGCGGCGUGCUUAACACCUGCAAGUCGAACGGGAAUUACUUUAUUGAAACUUCGGUCGAUUUAAUUUAAUUCUAGUGGCGGACGGGUGAGUAACGCGUGGGUAACCUGCCUUAUACAGGGGGAUAACAGUCAGAAAUGACUGCUAAUACCGCAUAAGCGCACAGGACCGCAUGGUCUGGUGUGAAAAACUCCGGUGGUAUAAGAUGGACCCGCGUUGGAUUAGCUAGUUGGUGGGG
Molecule: ribosomal RNA, 259 nt
Filed under: uncultured bacterium
Lineage: Bacteria
Description: partial 16S ribosomal RNA
Rfam family: Bacterial small subunit ribosomal RNA
Source: RNAcentral